CCAGUAUUGGCCCCAGUAUCAACCCCUGGGGGACACCACUAGUAACUGGCCACCAGUACAUUUUGUACCACUGAUCACAACCCUUUGAGCCAGGUGGUCCAGCCAAGUUUCCCUCCACCUUAUCAUCCACCUAUUCAGUCCAUAUUACACCAAUCUGACUAUGUGGAUACUAUUGGAGACUGCAUUCGAAGGCUUUGCUAAAGUCAAGGCAAACAGCGUGUACAGCAUUGGGAGUCAUCUCAUCGUAGGUGGUACAGUACUGCUUAAAGGAAGGCCACAUGAAAAACUAGAUUGUUUCAUUUAAAAAAAAAUCCAAAACCAGUAAUAUAAGUUAAACAUGGCAAAAAAACAUAGAGUCAAAAAGAAAGUUUUGUGCCUGAUCUUUAUUCAGCUCUUUGUCUUGUGGUGAAAGGACUGUUUGUGUGUGAGAAAUCUUGCUGAUCUUUAUCCAAAUCCAAAAUGUCUGGAAUAUCACCUAAUUCUGAAGACAAGUCUGUAAUAAUGAAAUCUGGAACCUGUCACUUCUUAUCUUGGAUAAAGGUUGCGCUUAUACUACUGUCCCCUAUGUCAAGCUCUCUCUUUGACUGAAGUUCUGGCCCCAGAACACACUCCAAACAUCUGCACUGUAUUCUUCUAGGGUUGAGAAGGGCUAGAGAGUUGCAGAAAAGCUGCUUUGUAGUAACCGUUUUACCUCAGGGCUUGAGUAAAGUACCGUUCCAAUUUUUUACCCCACAAAAUGGAGUAAGAACUGCCUGUGGAGCGAUGCUGUCAUAGUCAUUCCAUCACACACAAAGCUUCCAUGUACAACGUAAAUCCAGGGGCAGCCCUCAGGCAGACUUUAUGGUACCUGUAUGGGUUCCCCAAAUGCUGCUAUGCUGGGCAGUAGAACCAGUAGUAGUUAAACCAGCAGUUAAAGAGAAACAGCAAGCAACUUGGGAUGGACUGUGGGAGGAUGGUUAUAAGUUGAUGAUCUAACCAUGGAUUAAGUUGAGAGUUGUUUUUCAACUGGCCCUAGAACACUGAUCCUCAGGUCAAAAUUAGGGAGAAAAUUCUUUUCCAGUAGCAUUUCUCUCCCCAUACCCCCAUAAUUAUUGCAUUGCAUAGGCCAGCUCUGUCACUGUAAUAUCUGAGUGCCAAAAAGAAGAGUUUAAACUCACAUAGAUGUCCCCAUUGUUUUUUAAAAAAAUCAGUGGUUGGCAGCUCAGUUCUCAUUUCUUCUUUUAACUCAUGGUCUUUAGGUAGAGAUAUAGUUGUGCAAGAAUGUGCAUGUAGCCAUAUUCUCUAUACAUGGUCUUUUUUGACUCAGUUUUAGUCCCUUCCAUUUAUCAUUCUGGAGUUGAUAGGCUCUAGUUGAGACUGUCUUAUCUCUGGCCCCUUUGAGCUUUACUCAGUCUGUCGAGCUGUGAAUGACUAAAGUCUUCAGGAUUAAGCCUUUGAAGGAGAUAUCCCUCUGCAUCAGAUGGCAUUAGCAAAGACAAGCAAGCAUGCCAAAUGCAUGUACUUAGGGAUUUUUAUUUUCUCUUCUCAAAUAUGGAACAUGAGGAUAUGCUGGCACCAGUCUUGGAACAUCAAAACUGUACCACAGAGAUGUCUGCUAGUGUAACUAGAUCUACAAGAAAACCAUUUGGGAUAGCUGCAUGCUGACGGAGUCUCAAGGAAAGUUCAGGUCUAUGAAGAUCACAGACAACCAAUUAACCUAUCAGACAUUCACCACGGCAUUUCAUGUGAAAGUCUCAAGCUGAUCUGGGAAGAAGUAAGGUUACAACUAUCCCCUACUGGAGUGUUUCAUCUUGAGAGCUUUGUGUAUAAAGCGCCAAAUUAAUCAUCUAUACCUGGUGGUGGCUUGAAAACUAAAGCAGUUUUGAAGAGCUACCAUGUCUCCCUCUAAGCAUAUUGGAUCCCUGUUGCAGCUAAUACAAUCCCACUGUUGUUGGCUGUAGAUCAUAUGACUGGCUACAAGUUAUAAAUAUAAUCUUUGAGGUCACAAAAGAACACUGUCAUUGCUGUUAAAAAUGGAUGAAAGUUACUAUGUAAAAGCAAAUGUUUUCAUCUUGCUACCAAUAAAGAUAGAGAACAUGAAAUGAA
Long non-coding RNA from Dromaius novaehollandiae (emu), 2085 nucleotides. RefSeq lists it as uncharacterized. The transcript is spliced from 3 exons. NCBI's taxonomy places the organism in Eukaryota, Metazoa, Chordata, Aves, Casuariiformes, Dromaiidae. The record is from RefSeq and is a predicted model, not a curated record.